GCAGUGCCAGUGCCAGCUCCCCGGCUCCUCUAGCCUCGUCCUGGAAUCGGGCACCUGGGCCUGACAGUUCUGCUAACCCCGUGGGCGGCGAGGGCUCAGGGGAUUACGGAGCUCGGCUCUCUGUGGUGUUCACUGAAGGUCAAGGUCCACUGUUCCUCCAGCCCCUCCUUUAGAACACAGAGGCCAACAUCCUUCUCACCAAACCAGCUUAAAAUCUGAUACCUUGGAAGCAGAGUCACCACAUGGAGAGGCCCACGAAGUGCUCCAGUCAACAGGGCCCAUCUUCACAUGCCCCAGGCCCAACACCAGACGUCCCACCCAGAGCCCCAGAGCUGUUUGCAAAGAAUGCCAUCAGGAGGAAAUUCGGCCUGGAGUGGGAAGGCUGUCCAGCGCUGCACGGCAGUGUUGUGCAAUCUUCAGGAAGGGAACACAGUGUUCUGAAGUUGCACAAGGAAUGUAAACAAGACAAAUGAAAUCUCUCAGAAUCCGUGCUAAUCCGCUGCCGAAGUCUGAUUCCAGAAAAAGCUUUUGUGUAUGUAGCGUUUGACUAGGUAGCGUGCCUCUCAAAAUACUCAAAGUGGUGAGAGCAAUGACUGAGUUUUGCAAGUGUCUGUGCAUUGAAGGUAGUUUAUUUCUUCCUCGGCAAGCAGGCUCUGUGCUGACAGCAGGUCUCAAGUGCUUGCUGAGCUGUUUUAAAACUCCCAGGAAGACUGGCCUUAGCUUUUAUAAGGAAAAUUCCAAAGCUGACAUUUGUUGAUGGAAGUAACUUCGCUGGGUUUGACAGCAUGGCCUUGGUGGUUCCCGGUGCAUUCCAAUGCCAUCUAUUCAGGAUUUGUGAGCACUUGGGGGGGCGGGUGUGGGAGGGAGCUCUGUGAAGGCCCCCUGCCAGCACGUCCCUUCACACACAAUAAAUAAUCAGGUCAAGGCCGUGGCUCCCCAGCGUGCUCCAAUGGCUUCCCAUGAAAAUGCUCCCGUGUAAGACACACAUACCUACUCCAUCACAGCUUAUUUGUAACCGAGGCUUAUGGGAAGCACAGGGACAAGCGAGUUCAUAAAAUGCACCAUCUAUUCUGUGUUAGACUCUACAGCAAAGCAUGUCAAACUCAAAGGCUAACACUGGCCAAAUAAACAAGGUUUCAG
Myotis brandtii (Brandt's bat) is the source of this 1140-nucleotide long non-coding RNA. RefSeq lists it as uncharacterized. The record is from RefSeq and is a predicted model, not a curated record. The transcript has 3 exons. NCBI's taxonomy places the organism in Eukaryota, Metazoa, Chordata, Mammalia, Chiroptera, Vespertilionidae.